Leptotrichia hofstadii F0254 is the source of this 66-nucleotide regulatory RNA element. It matches the Rfam family "S4-Fusobacteriales ribosomal protein leader". Lineage: Bacteria; Fusobacteriati; Fusobacteriota; Fusobacteriia; Fusobacteriales; Leptotrichiaceae. The record is from Rfam.
UUGUAAAGGUAUGUUUAGCUGUAGAGCUUAUUCCUUAUAUUAUGUAUGUGAGGGCAUAUUGAAGAA